RNAcentral lists this long non-coding RNA (2983 nucleotides) under Sus scrofa (pig). Its description in RNAcentral is "lncRNA (ENSSSCG00015063668.1)". Lineage: Eukaryota; Metazoa; Chordata; Mammalia; Artiodactyla; Suidae. The record is from RNAcentral.
CCUAAAAUUACCUAACCUGAACGCCCUUCACUACGAGGAGAGCCAGUGGAAUGAACAUUGAGACUGCGGCCCGUUUAAAACCCAUUUCCCCAGGGUCAGAACCCAUCCUUGGAGCUGACCGCAGUUUUAGAUUGGAACGUACGUUUGAGUGACUCAGCAGUAUUCAGAGGAUGUGUGGGUUGGGAUGUCCUCAAAAAGGGACCCUUUUGUGCGAGAAUGAUGAGGUGGAGAUCAUCCGUUUGCUGCCUUUAAGACAGCAUGGAAAUUAAGGGAACACAGAGAGGAUUUGCUGUCAUCAGUUUCGGCCUUAGGUAGUUAUCCGUUAAUCAGGUGGACUUUGAUCCUCAUAGCAUUGGGUUUGGGAAGGAAAUGUUCCGAAGCCAGUGGAUAUUUUAUUUUAUUCUGUGAGGAUUAGAAAAGGUGGGGGGGGGGGCGUCGCAAGACAGGCCUGGCCCAGAAAACAAGGUCACGUUCUCUGCGCAGCAGCAGCCAGAUUGCCUCAUCAUUCUUGGCUACGGGGUGUGUGGGGGCAGCCAUCCUUCCUCCGGUAUUUAUUCUGAACACAUUGUACCUGGUCACAGUAAGGAAGGGCUGAGACCUUUUUUUUCUUGGAUAUUGGACGCUGGUUUAUGUAAUAGGAACUAGUGCAGGCAGUGAGGAGGAACAGAAGAAAUAUUAAGGUAUCGUUCUGCAUCCGGGCGUUUUUCCCAUCACCCCCUUCCACUGCCUCCUGCCUGGUUUUUCUCUAAUGUGGGCUGCGCAGCCCAGUUGGAAGGCAGAAAUCUUUAAAGUGGGGUAGAGGAAACUACCACCGUUGAGUUUUGGAGAUGAGAAACCAGAGACUAGAGAAACUAGAAACUAGAGAGUGUGCUCUUUAUCUGCGGGCAGGGAAAUUAGGAUAAAUACUACGUAUAAUUUACACGUAAAGGAAUUGCGAUUUUCUGAUUGUGAAUGGUACUCCCGUCCUUUCCAAUCCUCAUUUAACUUUCAUGUUCUUACAGCACCCACCAGCGACCUGGGCUUUAUAAAGCUCUUGCAGUCCUUUUCCUAUAAAGUAGAGGAGACGUUAGGGCCAUUCCAUUCCCCAGGAAUUACAUACAAAAGGGUUUUCAGCUAAAAAAAAAGAGCCAGCCUUAUUACCCAGUAAAGGAUCCUUCACAGGUUACUUUCCUGGUCUCUGAACCUUGAAUGACUGCUUUGAAAAUUUUCCCCCAAGAAAGGUGAUACCCAUGCUUGUCUUGAAAAUGACAACUAACUUUUAUUGCUAGCUUACCAGGUACCUGGGAGUAUUCUCAGAGCUCUGUCUAAUAUUCAUUCACUUAGUCCUCCCAGCAUUAUAACCCCAUUCUGCAGGUGAAGGACCCGAACCCAGAGAAAUGAAGUCACCCCCUAAAAGGUCUCACAGGGCUGGUAUGUGGCAGAGCUGGGAACCCCCACCCUGGCUGUUGGGCCUCCCAUGCCAUCUAUUUUCUCAGUGUCUAAUGCAGUUCUAUUAAGCAGAAUUAUUUUAAAUUCAAAUACCUCACACUGUUAGGUAUUGGAAAUAGCAGAGUAAACUGUAGUUGCCCUUAAGAGUUCACAGAUGGUGGUAUGAUGGUAGAAAAGCGUCCCAGUCAGCAGAACGGCUACCGUUUAUUCAGAACUCUCUCAGUAUAAAGCUCUGUUCCAGUGGUUCUGUGGAAGUCACAGACUCAGAAUCAUAGCUAUUCCUAAAUCAAGUUAAAUUUUCCAUAUACUUCCUCAAAACAGCUGUUUCCAUUUUAGUCAUUUCCAUGCAUUCACCCAGAAUAUUUCAGCUAAUCCCCCCAAUUUUAUUUUUUUCCGCUCAUUGUCUGGUGUUAAGUGUUUUACCUCCGUGAUAAAAUGUAAGGUAACAUGGCCAUCGCGUAGAUCUCAUGAUUCCUCCAGUUAGGUUUUAACCAGCCAUCAUCCUUCCAGCCCGUUCCUUAGAUGUUCAGCCUCUGGCCCUCUUUCUAGUUGUGACACAAAAGGAGCUCUGCUCAGAGUUCUGGGAUUUGGUGCUGGUUCUGAGCUGAAGCCUGAAUCUGGCUGGCUGUGCCGAAGGAUCCUGUUUACAGACAAGCGGGUUAGAGUAAAUAAUUUCUAAAGCCCUUUUCCGCCUGACCAGAGUGUUGUUAAAGCAGUCACGUACCCUGACUGCUCACGUGACUUGGGUUUAGCCUCUGCACAUCUCUAGAGCUGCCAUCCAGAAAAAUCGGCAUGCUUGUGCCUUGAGACAGAGGGUGUCAUGGGAUUUUGAAGUUAUCUUUAUAGCGACAAUGAAAUGAAAACCGGCAGUAGAGCAGGAAAAUGCUUGGGAGAGAUGGUGUGCUUUUUUGAAAAUUCAUGCACAGUCCAGCCCUGUGGAGUAUUAGCCACAUCUCACAGAUAGGAAAACAAGAGACCCAAACAGGCAAAGCAUCUAGCCCAGGGCCCCUCGUUAGGGAGGAGCAGAGCUGGCAUUCCUGGGAAAUGUGGAUAUUUUAUGGUAAAUGAAAGCCUUAAUGAUUCCCCCUCCCCUCCUGUUCCCUAAGAUCCCACUGUCUCCUCCCAUUGUCACAGUUGCACUUGGUUUUGUUGCUGUCUUUCUUGGCUCCCUUCUUGUGGUUUCCAUCUCUGGUUGAUUGGGGCUGGAGCUGCCAGGUCUCCGAUUCCUGCCUGACACAAGGCUGUGCGCCCUCCCCCUUCGAUUUUAUUUACCUGCUUCCUCCUGUCCAUCCUCCUCGUUGGACCUUCACUGGUGUCAUGCCAAUUCAUGCUUUUCCUACUUUUUCUUUGAAUUUCUCAUUCACGUAUUACUACUCCAAUUUUUAUUUAUUUACUUAUUUAUUUUUAUUUUUUCUUCCAGUUUUACUAAGAUACAGUUGACAUAUGGCAACUGUAUAAGUUUAAAGUGUACAGCAAAUGAUUUGACUUACAUACAUCAUGGAAUGAGUAUCACAGUAAGUUUAGUGAACAUCCAUCCUCUCAUAUAGUUGCAAAA